UAGUCCACACAGUAAACGAUGAAUACUCGCUGUUUGCGAUAUACAGUAAGCGGCCAAGCGAAAGCAUUAAGUAUUCCACCUGGGGAGUACGCCGGCAACGGUGAAACUCAAAGGAAUUGACGGGGGCCCGCACAAGCGGAGGAACAUGUGGUUUAAUUCGAUGAUACGCGAGGAACCUUACCCGGGCUCAAACGCCGUUUGAAUGAUAGUAGAGACAUUAUCAGUCCCUCGGGACAGA
Molecule: ribosomal RNA, 238 nt
Filed under: uncultured bacterium
Lineage: Bacteria
Description: partial 16S ribosomal RNA
Rfam family: Bacterial small subunit ribosomal RNA
Source: RNAcentral